GACGAACGCUGGCGGCGUGCUUAACACAUGCAAGUCGAACGGAAAGGCCCUGCUUGCAGGGUACUCGAGUGGCGAACGGGUGAGUAACACGUGGGUGAUCUGCCCUGCACUUCGGGAUAAGCCUGGGAAACUGGGUCUAAUACCGGAUAUUACCUUCCAUGUAGUGUGGGGGGUGGAAAGAUUUAUCGGUGUGGGAUGAGCCCGCGGCCUAUCAGCUUGUUGGUGGGGUAAUGGCCUACCAAGGCGUCGACGGGUAGCCGGCCUGGGAGGGUGGACGGCCACAUUGGGACUGAGAUACGGCCCAGACUCCUACGGGAGGCAGCAGUGGGGAAUAUUGCACAAUGGGCGGAAGCCUGAUGCAGCGACGCCGCGUGGGGGAUGACGGCCUUCGGGUUGUAAACCUCUUUCGACAGGGACGAAGCUUCGGUGACGGUACCUGUAGAAGAAGCACCGGCUAACUACGUG
Molecule: ribosomal RNA, 465 nt
Filed under: uncultured bacterium
Lineage: Bacteria
Description: partial 16S ribosomal RNA
Rfam family: Bacterial small subunit ribosomal RNA
Source: RNAcentral